UACAGAGGUGCCAAGCGUUAGGCGGAAUCACUGGGCUUAAAGCGCGUGUAGGUGGAUGGGUAAGUACCUUGUGAAAUCCCACGGCUCAACCGUGGAACUGCUGGGUAUACUGCCUGUCUUGAGGCACUCAGGGGCAGCUGGAACAAAUGGUGGAGCGGUGAAAUGCGUAGAUAUCAUUUGGAACGCCAAAGGCGAAAGCAGGCUGCUGGGAGUGAUCUGACACUGAGACGCGAAAGCCAGGGGAGCAAACGGG
This 253-nucleotide ribosomal RNA is filed under the name Tepidisphaera sp. RNAcentral describes it as "partial 16S ribosomal RNA". It matches the Rfam family "Bacterial small subunit ribosomal RNA", at positions 524 to 776 of the family's 1533-position model. The record is from RNAcentral. Lineage: Bacteria; Pseudomonadati; Planctomycetota; Phycisphaerae; Tepidisphaerales; Tepidisphaeraceae. RNAcentral also lists the same sequence under 1 other name.